GUGUCAGCAGCCGCGGUAAGACAGAGGAGGCAAGCGUUGUCCGGACUGACUGGGCGUAAAGCGCGCGCAGGCGGAGGCGGGCGUCGGUGCUGAAAGUCCACCGCUUAACGGUGGAUGGCGUGCCGAUACGCCGCUUCUGGAGGGCGGGCGAGGGUGGUGGAAUUGCCGGUGUAGUGGUGAAAUGCGUAGAGAUCGGCAGGAACACCCGUGGUGAAAACGGCCACCUAGCCCGCUACUGACGCUGAGGCGCGACAGCGUGGGGAGCGAACUGGAUUAGAUACCCUAGUAGUCC
RNAcentral lists this ribosomal RNA (292 nucleotides) under uncultured bacterium. Its description in RNAcentral is "partial 16S ribosomal RNA". It matches the Rfam family "Bacterial small subunit ribosomal RNA", at positions 505 to 796 of the family's 1533-position model. The record is from RNAcentral.